CGGCGUGCUUAACACAUGCAAGUCGAACGGGAUCCCUGGCAGCUUGCUGCCGGGGUGAGAGUGGCGAACGGGUGAGUAAUGCGUGACCGACCUGCCCCAUGCACCGGAAUAGCUCCUGGAAACGGGUGGUAAUGCCGGAUGUUCCACAUGAGCGCAUGCGAGUGUGGGAAAGGCUUUUUGCGGCAUGGGAUGGGGUCGCGUCCUAUCAGCUUGUUGGUGGGGUAACGGCCUACCAAGGCGUUGACGGGUAGCCGGCCUGAGAGGGCGACCGGCCACAUUGGGACUGAGAUACGGCCCAGACUCCUACGGGAGGCAGCAGUGGGGAAUAUUGCACAAUGGGCGCAAGCCUGAUGCAGCGACGCCGCGUGCGGGAUGGAGGCCUUCGGGUUGUAAACCGCUUUUGUUCAAGGGCAAGGCACGGUUUUUGGCCGUGUUGAGUGGAUUGUUCGAAUAAGCACCGGCUAACUACGUGCCAGCAGCCGCGGUAAUACGUAGGGUGCAAGCGUUAUCCGGAUUUAUUGGGCGUAAAGGGCUCGUAGGCGGUUCGUCGCGUCCGGUGUGAAAGUCCAUCGCUUUAACNGUGGAUCCCGCGCCGGGUACCGGCCGGGCUUUGAGUGCGGUAGGGGAAACUUGGAAAUUCCCCGGUGUAAACCGGUGGGAAUUGUUGUAGAUUAUUCGGGAAAGAAACAACCCAAAUGGGCGAAAAGGCAAG
Molecule: ribosomal RNA, 712 nt
Filed under: Bifidobacterium pseudolongum subsp. globosum
Lineage: Bacteria; Bacillati; Actinomycetota; Actinomycetes; Bifidobacteriales; Bifidobacteriaceae
Description: bacterial SSU rRNA
Rfam family: Bacterial small subunit ribosomal RNA
Source: RNAcentral